This 457-nucleotide ribosomal RNA is filed under the name uncultured bacterium. RNAcentral's name for it is "partial 16S ribosomal RNA". It matches the Rfam family "Bacterial small subunit ribosomal RNA", at positions 28 to 523 of the family's 1533-position model. The record is from RNAcentral.
GAUGAACGCUGGCGGCGUGCCUAAUACAUGCAAGUCGUACGGAAAGGCCCUUCGGGGUACUCGAGUGGCGGACGGCUGAGUAACGCGUGGGAACGUGCCCCAAAGUGAGGGAUAACGCACCGCAAGGUGUGCUAAUACCGCAUAUGGUCUUCGGAUUAAAGCUUCGGCGCUUUGGGAGCGGCCCGCGUACGAUUAGAUAGUUGGUGAGGUAAUGGCUCACCAAGUCGACGAUCGUUAGCUGGUCUGAGAGGAUGAUCAGCCAGACUGGGACUGAGACACGGCCCAGACUCCUACGGGAGGCAGCAGUAAGGAAUCUUCCACAAUGGGGGCAACCCUGAUGGAGCAACGCCGCGUGCAGGAUGAAGGUUUUCGGAUCGUAAACUGCUUUUAUAAGUGAAGAAUAUGACGGUAACUUAUGAAUAAGGAUCGGCUAACUACGUGCCAGCAGCCGCAGUAA